GACGAACGCUGGCGGCGUGCUUAACACAUGCAAGUCGAACGGAAAGGCCCUGCUUGCAGGGUGCUCGAGUGGCGAACGGGUGAGUAACACGUGGGUGAUCUGCCCCUUACUUUGGGAUAAGCCUGGGAAACUGGGUCUAAUACUGGAUAGGGCCAUGCUGUAGGUGGUGUGGUGGAAAGAUUAGUUUCGGUAAGGGAUGAGCUCGCGGCCUAUCAGCUUGUUGGUGGGGUAAUGGCCUACCAAGGCGUCGACGGGUAGCCGGCCUGAGAGGGUGGACGGCCACAUUGGGACUGAGAGACGGCCCAGACUCCUACGGGAGGCAGCAGUGGGGAAUAUUGCACAAUGGGCGCAAGCCUGAUGCAGCGACGCCGCGUGGGGGAUGACGGCCUUCGGGUUGUAAACUCCUUUCAGCCAUGACGAAGCCCUUGUGGUGACGGUAGUGGUAGAAGAAGCACCGGCUAACUACGUG
This 469-nucleotide ribosomal RNA is filed under the name uncultured bacterium. RNAcentral's name for it is "partial 16S ribosomal RNA". It matches the Rfam family "Bacterial small subunit ribosomal RNA", at positions 28 to 507 of the family's 1533-position model. The record is from RNAcentral.